This 1086-nucleotide long non-coding RNA is filed under the name Homo sapiens (human). Its description in RNAcentral is "non-protein coding lnc-ZNF33B-6:3". Lineage: Eukaryota; Metazoa; Chordata; Mammalia; Primates; Hominidae. The record is from RNAcentral.
AUGGGAAACAUACUGACCUGUUGUGUGUGCCCCAGGGCCAGCCCUGGGUUGCACCAGCACCAGGGAUUGGUGUGUCACUGUGAGUCUGAGAUCUAUGAGGCAGCAGCUGGGGACCUGAUAGCAGGAGUGCCUGUGGCUGCUGCUGUAGAGCCUGGUGAGGUGACUUUUGUAGCUGGUGAGGGCCUCCACAUGCACCACAUCUGUGAACGGGAGAUGCCUGAAGAUAUACCUUUGGAGCCCAACCCUUCUGACCAUCCAAAGGCAAGCACAAUAUUCCUGAGAAAAUCUCAAACAGAUGUACAAGAAAAAAAGAAAAAGCAACUAUGCAAAGUAUCUACUGAGCAUUUUACUCAACAAUACAGUUCAUGUUCGACAAUAUUCCUUGAUGACAGCAUAGCCAGCCAGCCUCAUCUUACAAUGACACUAAAAUCGUGUGACCUUGGCACUAUAUUAUCAUAUCAAGCAAAGAGAGAUGCACAUAGAUCUUUGGGCAUAUUUGAUGAACAGUUACACCCACUUACAGUGCGAAAAGAGGUUUUGGAGGAAUAUUUUAAGUAUGAUCCUGAACACAAAUUGAUCUUCAGAUUUGUUCGUACUCUGUUUAAAGCCAUGAGGCUAACAGCUGAGUUUGCAAUCGUAAGUUUGAUUUACAUAGAAAGACUUGUAAGUUAUGCUGAUAUCGACAUUUGUCCAACUAACUGGAAGAGGAUUGUCUUGGGAGCCAUUCUUCUUGCCUCCAAGGUUUGGAGUGAUAUGGCUGUGUGGAAUGAGGACUACUGCAAGCUCUUUAAGAACAUUACAGUUGAAGAAAUGAAUGAGUUGGAAAGGCAAUUCUUGAAGCUAAUUAAUUAUAAUAACAGCAUUACUAACAGUGUUUAUAGCAGAUUCUACUUCGAUCUUCGCACCUUGGCACACAACAACGGCCUGUAUUCACCAGUUUAUCUUCUUGACAGAGAAAGAGCUUGGAAGCUGGAGGCUUUUUCAAGGAUGGAACAAGACAAAGUUUUCUACAGUGCUGCCAAGAAUGGGUCUCUGAGUGCAGAUGAUUUAAUUCAUCUUCAGCGUGCUAAGGCCAUCCUCUUCUGA